Molecule: ribosomal RNA, 425 nt
Filed under: uncultured bacterium
Lineage: Bacteria
Description: bacterial SSU rRNA
Rfam family: Bacterial small subunit ribosomal RNA
Source: RNAcentral
GUGGGGAAUCUUAGACAAUGGGCGCAAGCCUGAUCUAGCCAUGCCGCGUGAGUGAUGAAGGCCCUAGGGUUGUAAAGCUCUUUCAGCUGGGAAGAUAAUGACGGUACCAGCAGAAGAAGCCCCGGCUAACUCCGUGCCAGCAGCCGCGGUAAUACGGAGGGGGCUAGCGUUGUUCGGAAUUACUGGGCGUAAAGCGCGCGUAGGCGGACUGAAAAGUUGGGGGUGAAAUCCCGGGGCUCAACCUCGGAACUGCCUUCAAAACUAUCAGUCUGGAGUUCGAGAGAGGUGAGUGGAAUUCCGAGUGUAGAGGUGAAAUUCGUAGAUAUUCGGAGGAACACCAGUGGCGAAGGCGGCUCACUGGCUCGAUACUGACGCUGAGGUGCGAAAGCGUGGGGAGCAAACAGGAUUAGAUACCCGAGUAGUCC